GGGCAAUGAAGAUUGAAAUCGUUUCUCGAUGCUGAGUUGGUUGAUUACUCGACCAUUGUUUUUCUUUGAUGACCGAUUUGUGCGUGUCUGAGCUCC
This is a small nucleolar RNA of Coffea arabica (coffee), 96 nucleotides long. RefSeq annotates it as small nucleolar RNA snoR126. NCBI's taxonomy places the organism in Eukaryota, Viridiplantae, Streptophyta, Magnoliopsida, Gentianales, Rubiaceae. The record is from RefSeq and is a predicted model, not a curated record.